Molecule: small nuclear RNA, 198 nt
Organism: Cercocebus atys (sooty mangabey)
Lineage: Eukaryota; Metazoa; Chordata; Mammalia; Primates; Cercopithecidae
Gene: U2
Rfam family: U2 spliceosomal RNA
About the family: U2 is a small nuclear RNA (snRNA) component of the spliceosome (involved in pre-mRNA splicing).
Source: Ensembl
CUCCAUUCUCAGCCUUUUGGGUAAGAUCAAGUGUAGUAGUAUCUGUUUUUAUCAGUUUAAUAUCUGAUAUGUCCUCUACUCAAGGACACAAUCUAUAUUAAAUAGAUUUUUGGAACUAAGAGAUAGAAUAGGAGCUUGCCCCACCCACUCCACACAUCGACCUAGCAUUGCAGUACCUCCAGGAACAGUGUACCUCUA